RNAcentral lists this long non-coding RNA (515 nucleotides) under Sus scrofa (pig). Its description in RNAcentral is "lncRNA (ENSSSCG00050057642.1, ENSSSCG00060077044.1)". The record is from RNAcentral. Lineage: Eukaryota; Metazoa; Chordata; Mammalia; Artiodactyla; Suidae.
GGUACCAUCCCUCUCGGCCGUCGCAUCAUCUCCCAGCAGUUCCUGGGCGCUCUGCCCCCUGAGAUCCAGGCCUGGGUGCGGGGCCAGAGGCCAGGCAGCCCAGAGGAGGCUGCUGUUCUGGUCGAGGGCCUGCAGCAUGACCCUGGGCAGCUGCUCAGCUGGAUUACAGCGCACGUCCUGAAGCGGGCAGUGCUUCCAGCAGCACAGAAGACAGAGAAAUCUGUGAGGAGCUCCCACCCUUCAGAGCCAGUGGAGCCCCUCAGGGCAGCCUCUGGGGAGGGGUCCAACGAUGCGCAGAUGGAGGGGGGUGCCCAUCCCAGCUGCAGUGUGAAGGAGGAGCCUGCUGGCUAUGGGCAGGAGACCGCACCCUCCAGCCCCCUAAACCCAGCCACGUCCCAUGAGAGGUGCCUCGAACGACAGGAACCGACCUCUGCGCCUUUCCACCCGUCUAGGAUUCAGCAGCACACAGUGUUCAGGGCCCAUCCAGGGCCUGUGUGCAGCCAGGACCAGGAGCC